This 506-nucleotide ribosomal RNA is filed under the name Podoscirtus sp. MCJ-2002. RNAcentral's name for it is "partial 16S ribosomal RNA". It matches the Rfam family "Bacterial large subunit ribosomal RNA", at positions 1832 to 2600 of the family's 2925-position model. Lineage: Eukaryota; Metazoa; Arthropoda; Insecta; Orthoptera; Gryllidae. The record is from RNAcentral.
GUCUUUUUGAUUUAUAAAAGGUCGUAUCUGCCCACUGAAUGUAUUGAAGGGCCGCGGUAUUUUGACCGUGCAAAGGUAGCAUAAUCAUUAGUUUUUUAAUUGGAAACUGGAAUGAAUGAUUUGACGUAACAAUUACUGUCUCUAAAUUAUUUAUUGAAUUUUAUUUUUGAGUUAAAAAGCUUAAAUGAUAAUAAGGGACGAGAAGACCCUAUAGAUUUUAAUAGUUUGAUUUUUUUAAGGUUGACUGGAUUAAUUUAGGCUUAUUUAAUUAAAUUAUUUCGUUGGGGUGAUGGGGGAAAAUAUAAACUUCUCUUUUAUUAUCAUUGAUAAGUGAUUAAUAGAUCCUUUAUUAUGGAAUGAAGAUUAAAAUACCUUAGGGAUAACAGCGUUAUUUUGUUUGAGAGUUCAAAUCGACAACAAAGAUUGCGACCUCGAUGUUGGAUUAAAAUUAGUAUUUAAUGCAGAAGUUAAUUUAUUUUGGUCUGUUCGACCAUUAUAAUUUUACA